CCUUGGGAACUACAUGGAAGUUGGUAGAACUACAGUGAAGAAGGAGGUGGGGUCGCCACUUAAAAGAAAGCGAUUUACUUUCCUUUGAUGAUUGGAGGCAAGAAACAUUGGUCAACGAGCACCUUUUGACAGAAGAGGAAAGAAUAAUCCUGAAAAGAAGGUUGAAAAGAAGCCUGUGGAGAUGAACAUCCAGUCCAGCCUCCUGGAUCCUCCCCUCCCAACGUUCCACUGGCAGCAGAACCUCGAGUCUUUGAAAUACACUUUCACAGUCCAAUUUUCUCUAUAUAUCAGAAGAUAUAAACAAACACAAAGAUUUAAUACAGAUCAAGAUUUAUUGGAAACAAAGAGCAAUAAUGGUCAAGGCUGACUGACAACACAACUUGUGUACUUGUACUUCAUAAAGACUGGGAUCUAACCAGAGUACAUGAAGAUGUGAGCCACUUUGAACUCCCUAUGCAAAUCUUCACAAUGCCCAGGGGACUCCAUCUCAACUUCAAGAUGCAAACCUUUACAAGCGUGCAGCUGUUCCGGACUUCAAGAAUGCAUGCAAAGCCCAUAAUCAUGCCAGUUAUGUAACCUGUCAUGCAAGCCUCAUCCUUCCAAAGCAUGUAUCCCCAGAGGACAUAUAUGGUUAUGCACAGAGAACCUGCUGUCUCCUAAGUAGACCCACUUUCCAUAAAUUUACAAUUAAUAUUAAUCCUGAUCUUGAAAAUAAGCUGUGAACCGAAGCAAAUUGCCUUAAAAACAGAUUUUCAUUAAUGAAGAGAUUCACUGUAUGCUUCUCCCUGACUACCAUCCUCUCUUGGCUGUUGUGAGAAACCACAAAGCAUCUUCUCUGGUGAGAUCCAUACUGUGACUACUAACACAGCAGGGGGGGCACUUUUUUACUUAAUUAGGGGAGAAAUACCUGUAAUGGCAGAACCUCAUUCACCUCUGUCAUUCAUUUCCUCUCUGGUCACUUACUGUGAUAUUGCAUACUGAUACAGCACCUCCACAUAGCCAUGUAUCUAACAAGUGUACCAGCUCAAUGCCUAGGCAACCUUUAACCUUCCAUCUGUCCUCAUGCACACCUGGAACAUCAACACGCAUGUUGGUUCAACUCAAGCAUUCACUGACGGUUGAGUAUGUUUAUAGACUCCCCAACUUGCCCAUUCCUCCAGCUUGUGCUCCUCCUCUCUGACUCAUUCUCCUUGCUUACACUCACUUGAGUUGUGUUCUUCAUAGAGGUGGAUACAUUUACCCAGGGCUUUAGCAAUAAUAUCUUUUUUCUUUUUGUAUAUAAACUGCUGUUCUCUUAGAUACUAGGCAAAAAUAAUCUGGUGCCCAGUUUCCAAAUAUAUCUCAGAUGGGCUGAUGAAAUAGUAUUUUAGAGGAAAAGC
This is a long non-coding RNA of Artibeus jamaicensis (Jamaican fruit-eating bat), 1379 nucleotides long. RefSeq lists it as uncharacterized. The record is from RefSeq and is a predicted model, not a curated record. The transcript is spliced from 6 exons. NCBI's taxonomy places the organism in Eukaryota, Metazoa, Chordata, Mammalia, Chiroptera, Phyllostomidae.